GAUGAAGAACGCAGCGAAAUGCGAUAACUAGUGUGAAUUGCAGAAUUCAGUGAAUCAUCGAAUCUUUGAACGCACAUUGCGCCCUUUGGUAUUCCAAAGGGCAUGCCUGUUCGAGCGUCAUUUGUACCCUCAAGCUUUGCUUGGUGUUGGGCGUCUUGUCUCUAGCUUUGCUGGAGACUCGCCUUAAAGUAAUUGGCAGCCGGCCUACUGGUUUCGGAGCGCAGCACAAGUCGCACUCUCUAUCAGCAAAGGUCUAGCAUCCAUUAAGCCUUUUUUUUCAACUUUUGACCUCGGAUCAGGUAGGGAUACCCGCUGAACUUAAGCAUAUCAAUAAGCGGAGGA
Molecule: unclassified non-coding RNA, 342 nt
Filed under: soil metagenome
Description: partial contains 5.8S ribosomal RNA, internal transcribed spacer 2, and large subunit ribosomal RNA
Rfam family: 5.8S ribosomal RNA (bases 1-120)
Source: RNAcentral